UACGUAGGGGGCAAGCGUUGUCCGGAAUCAUUGGGCGUAAAGCGCGCGUAGGCGGCCCUGUAAGUCCGCUGUAAAAGUCAAAGGCUCAACCUUUGGAAGCCGGUGGAUACUGUCGGGCUAGAGUCCGGAAGGGGCGAGUGGAAUUCCUGGUGUAGCGGUGAAAUGCGCAGAUAUCAGGAGGAACACCAAUGGCGAAGGCGGGUCUCUGGGCAGUAACUGACGCUGAGGAGCGAAAGCGUGGGGAGCGAACAGG
Molecule: ribosomal RNA, 253 nt
Filed under: uncultured bacterium
Lineage: Bacteria
Description: partial 16S ribosomal RNA
Rfam family: Bacterial small subunit ribosomal RNA
Source: RNAcentral